This 176-nucleotide ribosomal RNA is filed under the name uncultured Bifidobacterium sp. RNAcentral's name for it is "partial 16S ribosomal RNA". It matches the Rfam family "Bacterial small subunit ribosomal RNA", at positions 338 to 524 of the family's 1533-position model. The record is from RNAcentral. Lineage: Bacteria; Bacillati; Actinomycetota; Actinomycetes; Bifidobacteriales; Bifidobacteriaceae.
CCUACGGGAGGCAGCAGUGGGGAAUAUUGCACAAUGGGCGCAAGCCUGAUGCAGCGACGCCGCGUGAGGGAUGGAGGCCUUCGGGUUGUAAACCUCUUUUGUUUGGGAGCAAGCCUUCGGGUGAGUGUACCUUUCGAAUAAGCGCCGGCUAACUACGUGCCAGCAGCCGCGGUAAU